CUUGGGCAUCUUUUCAGAAGU
Molecule: non-coding RNA, 21 nt
Organism: Caenorhabditis elegans
Lineage: Eukaryota; Metazoa; Nematoda; Chromadorea; Rhabditida; Rhabditidae
Source: Ensembl